GGAAAUCUUGUCAUUGUCCCACUGCUUUCAAGGCUGUGUUUUUUCCAGGUUACAGGUGCUUCUCCUCCACAAAGUUUCGGGGACUAUGGUAAUGUUGCUUUCUCUGUAGAUCACAAAACAAAAGUAUUUCUACAUUUACCCCAGGACACUGAAGUGGGAACUCCAAUAACAAGCUUAUCACCAUCAGACCUUGAACUUAGAAAUAUGAACAAUAAGGAUGGAGUUGACUACGCAAAAUUGGGUGGUCUUUCUGAAGAAUUUGCAGUUCUAAUGGACAUAAUAAUAUCGUCGGCUGUGAAGGGUACAAUGGCUAGCAUGGGUUUACGACCU
Molecule: unclassified non-coding RNA, 330 nt
Filed under: Hevea brasiliensis (rubber tree)
Lineage: Eukaryota; Viridiplantae; Streptophyta; Magnoliopsida; Malpighiales; Euphorbiaceae
Source: RNAcentral